UUCUGGUUAGACACUAGUGUUGAGAUGUCUGUCUGUCAUGAUAGCAUGUACUGAGUCGGGGCCAGUACCAGAUAAGCACAUUAAACUAUAAUCCAUAAACGUAAGGUAACAACCGAGACCUAAUGGUGCUGUGACAGCAAUGCUGUGAUUGAGUUUGAGACAGUGAAAAUACAUAUGGUAUGUUGUAUCUGAACAGGUUAGCUUACGAGCUAAAGUUACUUAGCACAG
Xyrichtys novacula (pearly razorfish) is the source of this 228-nucleotide non-coding RNA. NCBI's taxonomy places the organism in Eukaryota, Metazoa, Chordata, Actinopteri, Labriformes, Labridae. The record is from the annotation of a GenBank genome assembly.